RNAcentral lists this long non-coding RNA (1068 nucleotides) under Takifugu rubripes (torafugu). RNAcentral describes it as "lncRNA (ENSTRUG00000032875.1)". Lineage: Eukaryota; Metazoa; Chordata; Actinopteri; Tetraodontiformes; Tetraodontidae. The record is from RNAcentral.
AUGGGAGUAAGUCUGAUUGGAUUGUUUGAAACCUCCUGGGUUCCACCGGAGCACGUCUGCACCUCUCUGGUCUUUUUACCCCCCCCCCCCCCCCCCCUAAUCUCUCCAUUGUUCUCCUCUACUCUCACCUGUCACCCUCUCUUCUGUCUCUCUCCUCUCACCUGUCUCUCUCCUCUCACCUGUCUCUCUCUCUCACCUGUCUCUCUCCUCUCACCUGUCUCUCUCCUCUCACCUGUCACCCUCUCACCUGUCUCUCUCCUCUCACCUGUCUCUCUCCUCUCACCUGUCACCCUCUCACCUGUCUCUGUCUCCUCUCACCUGUCUCUCUCUCACCUGUCUCUCUCCUCUCACCUGUCUCUGUCUCCUCUCACCUGUCUCUCUCCUCUCACCUGUCUCUGUCUCCUCUCACCUGUCUCUCUCCUCUCACCUGUCUCUCUCUCUCACCUGUCUCUCUCCUCUCACCUGUCUCUCUCUCCUCUCACCUGUCACCCUCUCACCUGUCUCUGUCUCCUCUCACCUGUCUCCCUCUCACCUGUCUCUGUCUCCUCUCACCUGUCACCCUCUCUUCUGUCUCUCUCCUCUCACCUGUCUCUCUCUUCUCACCUGUCUCUCUCCUCUCACCUGUCUCUCUCCUCUCACCUGUCUCCUUUCACCUGUCUCUCUCCUCUCACCUCUCCUCUCACUUGUCUCUCUCUCACCUGUCCAUUUUCCUCUCUCUCUCUCACCUGUCUCCCUCUCACCUGUCUCCUUUCACCUGUCCAUUUUCCUCUCUCUCCUCUCACCUGUCUCUCUCUCACCUGUCUCCUUUCACCUGUCCAUUUUCCUCUCUCUCUCUCACCUGUCUCCCUCUCACCUGUCUCCUUUCACCUGUCCAUUUUCCUCUCUCUCUCUCACCUGUCUCUCUCCUUUCACCUGUCUCUCUCCUCUCACCUGUCUCUCUCUCACCUGUCCAUUUUCCUCUCUCUCUCUCACAUGUCUCUCUCCUCUCACCUGUCUCUCUCCUCUCACCUGUCUCUCUCUCAGUCAUCCUCUCUAUUUGAUUUUUGCUUGCCAAAGUCACCAGCCUAG